GUGGGGAAUAUUGGACAAUGGGCGAAAGCCUGAUCCAGCCAUGCCGCGUGUGUGAAGAAGGUCUUCGGAUUGUAAAGCACUUUAAGUUGGGAGGAAGGGCAGUAAGUUAAUACCUUGCUGUUUUGACGUUACCGACAGAAUAAGCACCGGCUAACUUCGUGCGAGCAGCCGCGGUAAUACGAAGGGUGCAAGCGUUAAUCGGAAUUACUGGGCGUAAAGCGCGCGUAGGUGGUUUUGUAAGUUGGAGGUGAAAUCCCCGGGCUCAACCUGGGAACUGGCUCCAAAACUGAAUGACUAGAGUACGGUAGAGGGUAGUGGAAUUUCCUGUGUAGCGGUGAAAUGCGUAGAUAUAGGAAGGAACACCAGUGGCGAAGGCGACUACCUGGACUGAUACUGACACUGAGGUGCGAAAGCGUUGGGAGCAAACAGUAUUAGAAACCCGAGUAGUCC
RNAcentral lists this ribosomal RNA (450 nucleotides) under uncultured bacterium. RNAcentral's name for it is "bacterial SSU rRNA". It matches the Rfam family "Bacterial small subunit ribosomal RNA", at positions 354 to 796 of the family's 1533-position model. The record is from RNAcentral.